Molecule: ribosomal RNA, 874 nt
Filed under: Enterobacter cloacae
Lineage: Bacteria; Pseudomonadati; Pseudomonadota; Gammaproteobacteria; Enterobacterales; Enterobacteriaceae
Description: bacterial SSU rRNA
Rfam family: Bacterial small subunit ribosomal RNA
Source: RNAcentral
GCGCACGCGGGCGGUCGUCAGUGGGAUGUGAAAUCCCUGGGCUCACUGGGAACUGCAUUCGAAACGGCAGGCUAGAGUCUGUAGAGGGGGGUAGAUUUCCAGGUGAGCGUGAAAUGCGUAGAGAUCUGGAGGAAUACCGGUGGCGAAGGCGGCCCCCUGGACAAGACUGACGCUCAGGUGCGAAGCGUGGGGAGCAAACAGGAUAGAUACCCUGGUAGUCCACGCCGUAAACGAUGUCGAUUUGGAGGUUGUGCCCUGAGGCGUGGCUUCCGGAGCUAACGCGUUAAAUCGACCGCCUGGGGAGUACGGCCGCAAGGUUAAAACUCAAAUGAAUUGACGGGGGCCCGCACAAGCGGUGGAGCAUGUGGUUUAAUUCGAUGCAACGCGAAGAACCUUACCUGGUCUUGACAUCCACAGAACUUUCCAGAGAUGGUUUGGUGCCUUCGGGAACUGUGAGACAGGUGCUGCAUGGCUGUCGUCAGCUCGUGUUGUGAAAUGUUGGGUUAAGUCCCGCAACGAGCGCAACCCUUAUCCUUUGUUGCCAGCGGUUAGGCCGGGAACUCAAAGGAGACUGCCAGUGAUAAACUGGAGGAAGGUGGGGAUGACGUCAAGUCAUCAUGGCCCUUACGACCAGGGCUACACACGUGCUACAAUGGCGCAUACAAAGAGAAGCGACCUCGCGAGAGCAAGCGGACCUCAUAAAGUGCGUCGUAGUCCGGAUUGGAGUCUGCAACUCGACUCCAUGAAGUCGGAAUCGCUAGUAAUCGUAGAUCAGAAUGCUACGGUGAAUACGUUCCCGGGCCUUGUACACACCGCCCGUCACACCAUGGGAGUGGGUUGCUUAAAGAAGUAGGUAGCUUAACCUUCGGGAGGG